Molecule: ribosomal RNA, 600 nt
Filed under: uncultured bacterium
Lineage: Bacteria
Description: bacterial SSU rRNA
Rfam family: Bacterial small subunit ribosomal RNA
Source: RNAcentral
GUACGUAGCAAUACGUAUUGUAAAGUGGCGCACGGGUGAGUAACACGUGGGUAAUCUGCCCUUGAGUUUGGGAUAACCCCGCGAAAGCGGGGCUAAUACCGGAUAAGACCACGGAGACCAAAGUCUCUGAGGUAAAAGGUGGCCUCUAUUUAUAAGCUACCACUUGAGGAUGAGCCCGCGGCCCAUUAGCUAGUUGGCAGGGUAAUGGCCUACCAAGGCAAUGAUGGGUAGCUGGUCUGAGAGGACGAUCAGCCACACUGGAACUGAGACACGGUCCAGACUCCUACGGGAGGCAGCAGUGGGGAAUAUUGCGCAAUGGGCGAAAGCCUGACGCAGCAACGCCGCGUGGGGGAUGAAGGUUCUCGGAUUGUAAACCCCUUUCGAUCGGAACGAAUCCCCUCCUGGUAAGUAAUCAGGAGGAUCGACGGUACCGAGAGAAGAAGCCACGGCUAACUCUGUGCCAGCAGCCGCGGUAAGACAGAGGUGGCGAGCGUUGUUCGGAUUUAUUGGGCGUAAAGCGAACGCAGGUGGUUUGGUAAGUCAGGGGUGAAAGACCACAGCUUAACUGUGGCAUUGCCUUUGAUACUGCCUUUCUUGAGU